RNAcentral lists this non-coding RNA (22 nucleotides) under Arabidopsis thaliana (thale cress). Lineage: Eukaryota; Viridiplantae; Streptophyta; Magnoliopsida; Brassicales; Brassicaceae. The record is from RNAcentral.
CGUGGUGUCCGGUGCGCCCCCG